CUGAAAACCUAGCCUAAUAAUCAACUCACAAUACACACCCACAAGCCAAAAUAUUUUAACAAUUUAGUACAGAAGAUUAAAAAAUUAAUUAGAGCUAUAAACAUGUACCGCA
This 112-nucleotide ribosomal RNA is filed under the name Eleutherodactylus etheridgei (Etheridge's robber frog). RNAcentral describes it as "partial 16S ribosomal RNA". The record is from RNAcentral. Lineage: Eukaryota; Metazoa; Chordata; Amphibia; Anura; Eleutherodactylidae.